This 305-nucleotide ribosomal RNA is filed under the name uncultured bacterium. Its description in RNAcentral is "bacterial SSU rRNA". It matches the Rfam family "Bacterial small subunit ribosomal RNA", at positions 333 to 631 of the family's 1533-position model. The record is from RNAcentral.
GUGUCCCUACGGGAGGCAGCAGUGGGGAAUUUUGGACAAUGGGCGCAAGCCUGAUCCAGCUAUUCCGCGUGUGGGAUGACGGCCCUCGGGUUGUAAACCACUUUAGUAGAGAACGAAAAGGAGCUAUCGAAUAAAUAGCUCUGCUGACGGUACUCUAAGAAAAAGCAUCGGCUAACUCCGUGCCAGCAGCCGCGGUAAUACGGAGGAUGCGAGCGUUAUCCGGAUUUAUUGGGUUUAAAGGGUGCGUAGGCGGGCUUUUAAGUCAGCGGUAAAAAUUCGGGGCUCAACCCCGUCCGGCCGUUGAA